Molecule: ribosomal RNA, 83 nt
Filed under: Flavobacterium columnare
Lineage: Bacteria; Pseudomonadati; Bacteroidota; Flavobacteriia; Flavobacteriales; Flavobacteriaceae
Description: partial 23S ribosomal RNA
Source: RNAcentral
GCUCUCAGAGGCGAAGAAGGACGUGAUAAGCUGCGAAAAGCUGCGGGGAUUGGCACAUACGAAUAGAUCCGCAGAUUCCGAUG